GACGAACGCUGGCGGCGUGCUUAACACAUGCCAGUCGAACGGUGAAGGGACCGGUUUUUGCUGGUUCUGGAUGAGUGGCGAACGGGUGAGUAACACGUGAGUAACCUGCCCCCUUCUUCUGGAUAACCGCAUGAAAGUGUGGCUAAUACGGGAUAUUCUGCGCCUGCUGCAUGGUGGGUGUGGGAAAGAUAUUGUUUCGGUGGGGGAUGGGCUCGCGGCCUAUCAGCUUGUUGGUGGGGUGAUGGCCUACCAAGGCGGUGACGGGUAGCCGGCCUGAGAGGGUGGACGGUCACACUGGGACUGAGACACGGCCCAGACUCCUACGGGAGGCAGCAGUGGGGAAUAUUGCACAAUGGGCGCAAGCCUGAUGCAGCGACGCCGCGUGAGGGAUGGAGGCCUUCGGGUUGUAAACCUCUUUCGCCAGUGAAGCAGGCCUGUCCCUUUUGUGGGUGGGUUGACGGUAGCUGGAUAAGAAGCGCCGGCUAACUACGU
Molecule: ribosomal RNA, 492 nt
Filed under: uncultured bacterium
Lineage: Bacteria
Description: partial 16S ribosomal RNA
Rfam family: Bacterial small subunit ribosomal RNA
Source: RNAcentral